Molecule: ribosomal RNA, 506 nt
Filed under: uncultured bacterium
Lineage: Bacteria
Description: partial 16S ribosomal RNA
Rfam family: Bacterial small subunit ribosomal RNA
Source: RNAcentral
AUUGAACGCUGGCGGCAGGCUUAACACGCGCAAGUCGAGCGGUAACAGAGAGAAGCUUGCUUCUCUGCUGACGAGCGGCGGACGGGUGAGUAAUGCCUAGGAAUCUGCCUAGUAGUGGGGGAUAACUUGCCGAAAGGUAAGCUAAUACCGCAUACGUCCUACGGGAGAAAGGAGGGGACCUUCGGGCCUUUCGCUAUUAGAUGAGCCUAGGUCGGAUUAGUUAGUUGGUGAGGUAAUGGCUCACCAAGACCGCGAUCCGUAACUGGUCUGAGAGGAUGAUCAGUCACACUGGAACUGAGACACGGUCCAGACUCCUACGGGAGGCAGCAGUGGGGAAUAUUGGACAAUGGGGGGAACCCUGAUCCAGCCAUGCCGCGUGUGUGAAGAAGGUCUUAGGAUUGUAAAGCACUUUAAGUUGGGAGGAAGAGCAGUUAACUAAUAUUUGACUGUUUUGACGUUACCGACAGAAUAAGCACCGGCUAACUUCGUGCCAGCAGCCGCAGUAA